This 254-nucleotide ribosomal RNA is filed under the name uncultured bacterium. Its description in RNAcentral is "partial 16S ribosomal RNA". It matches the Rfam family "Bacterial small subunit ribosomal RNA", at positions 524 to 776 of the family's 1533-position model. The record is from RNAcentral.
UACGAAGGGGGCUAGCGUUGCUCGGAAUCACUGGGCGUAAAGCGCACGUAGGCGGCUUUUUAAGUCAGAGGUGAAAUCCUGGAGCUCAACUCCAGAACUGCCUUUGAUACUGAGAGGCUUGAGUCCGGGAGAGGUGAGUGGAACUGCGAGUGUAGAGGUGAAAUUCGUAGAUAUUCGCAAGAACACCAGUGGCGAAGGGCGGCUCACUGGCCCGGUACUGACGCUGAGGUGCGAAAGCGUGGGGAGCAAACAGG